UUCAGUUAAAACGCUCGUAGUCGGAUUUCGGGGCAGGUUUGCCGGUCUGCCGAUGGGUAUGCACUGGCAGAACUGUCCUUCCUUCCGGAGACGGCGCCUACUCUUAACUGAGCGGGUGUCGGAGACGGAUCGUUUACUUUGAAAAAAUCAGAGUGUUUCAAGCAGGCAGCUCGCUUUUGCAUGGAUUAGCAUGGGAUAAUGAAAUAGGACUUUGGUGCUAUUUUGUUGGUUUCGAACACCGAAGUAAUGAUUAACAGGGACAGUCAGGGGCACUCGUAUUCCGCCGAGAGAGGUGAAAUUCUUAGACCAGCGGAAGACGAACCACUGCGAAAGCAUUUGCCAGGGAUGUUUUCACUGAUCAAGAACGAAAGUUAGGGGAUCGAAGACGAUCAGAUACCGUCGUAGUCUUAACCAUAAACCAUGCCGACUAGGGAUUGGAGGAUGUUCCUAUGUGACUCCUUCAGCACCUUUCGGGAAACUAAAGUCUUUGGGUUCCGGGGGGAGUAUGGUCGCAAGGCUGAAACUUAAAGGAAU
Molecule: ribosomal RNA, 534 nt
Filed under: uncultured marine eukaryote
Lineage: Eukaryota
Description: SSU rRNA
Rfam family: Eukaryotic small subunit ribosomal RNA
Source: RNAcentral